GGAGAGGCCAUAGCUCAGUGGUAGAGCGUCUGCAGAGCAAGGAGAAGGUCCCAGGUACAAUUCCUGACAUCUCUA
Non-coding RNA from Podarcis lilfordi (Lilford's wall lizard), 75 nucleotides. NCBI's taxonomy places the organism in Eukaryota, Metazoa, Chordata, Lepidosauria, Squamata, Lacertidae. The record is from the annotation of a GenBank genome assembly.